Molecule: long non-coding RNA, 297 nt
Organism: Notolabrus celidotus (New Zealand spotty)
Lineage: Eukaryota; Metazoa; Chordata; Actinopteri; Labriformes; Labridae
Exons: 3
Source: RefSeq, a predicted model, not a curated record
GGCUCUCUUUCUGUGUUUCAGGAUCUCUUUUCAUCUUCUUCCUCCCUUUAACUGGACUGUGAUCUGUGUUUGGGAUAAACGGGAGACAAUUUGCUCGGCUAAGCAGCAACACAAUGCCAUAAAUGUGAUGUGACGUGUUGGACGUAAAUAGCAUUUGAAGAACCUGACACAUCGGUAACAUCUGCUCAGGGAGAAGUAUCUCGGAGGAAACAUGAUGGAUGUCCAAGUUGUCUUGAUCCAUUACUGACUCCAGAAAGUUUUGUAUCUGGUUUGUUGGUUGGAAAUAAAACAGAGCAU